RNAcentral lists this long non-coding RNA (1271 nucleotides) under Gossypium barbadense (sea-island cotton). RNAcentral's name for it is "long non-coding RNA (GBAR_LNC011669)". Lineage: Eukaryota; Viridiplantae; Streptophyta; Magnoliopsida; Malvales; Malvaceae. The record is from RNAcentral.
CGAGGUUGAGAAUAUCCCAUCAGCGACCAGACACGCGGAUCUUGAGCGUGUGCGGGUCGGGUCAUCGGGUUGUAGCCUUGAACAUAGUCGUUUUGAGGCCAUUAAUUUGGCCUAAAAUGGUGACGUACAGAGGUCCCUUAUAGCCACCGAAGUAAACCCUAAUAUGUUUGCAACCAUUCACAAAAAAAAAGAAAAAAACUAAGACUCUCUCUCAAUCCUCCACCGACCAACAACCUUUCGAAGGUCUGUUCCUCUGCCUCUCCUUUUGACUCACACGAGAGUCAAUCAAGGCUUCCUCGAGUCGAAAGAUUCGUGAGUCUUGCUUAUAGCCCCAAAUCGCCACUUAGUUUCAAUCAUGGUGAAACAAGCGUGGAUUCGAAGGCAUCAAACGCAGGUAAGUGUCGUUUCCUCUCUUUUUUUUGUUAUUUACAUUCGAUCAAAAAAGGGUAAACGAGAAGGUCAGAGAGAAACAAGUGACAGGAAUUGCGAAUAAAUCACAUUUUUUCGUCUAUUGCUUUUCUAUUGCGUAUAUUGUCAGUGUUGGUAUUUGUAACCUUUACAACCAUUAAAGAUCCUGGCUUUAUAGCCGAAAAGAAGAAGGAAAAAUAAUAAAAAUAAAUCAAAAGAAUUCGAAAUUUGUUUUUUGCUUUUUUCUGCUCUAUGCUGCUGUUGCGUUUGUCUUGUUUGCAGGUACGGAGCAAGGCGCGUGUACGGGGGUCGUGUUGGCGCUUGCCAUGGGCGUACGAGGGCUGUUGACGUGGAGGCACGAGCGGCGAUUGGGCUGUACGGUGGCUGAAGGCUGCGGCGCCUCUGCUGCUAGGACUAGGGUUUGGUGAAAUUUGUUUAGCAUUUGGGCUGUUUGGGCUCAUUUCGAGUGUUGGGUUAGUCUUUGGGCAUGGGGUUUUAAUCAUUGGGUCUAGGUAUUGGGCUUGUAACAGGACAUUAAUUAAUGAACUUUGUUUUUGUUUAUUCAUUUUGUAUAUAAAUUUAUAUAUAGGGUUUUUAGCGAGCCCGGGCCAAAAUUGGUCACUACAUUGGGUUUUAACAUUCAAGGUAUAUUUUUAAACGAAUCGGUUUGGACAAAAUUUGAAGUUAUUUUUAUUUCGAGUUGAACUAGACUUGGACAAACAUAAAUUAUAUUAACAUCAGUGAUUUAAUAACAGGAUCGGUAGUUGAACCGGUCAGACCAUUGGUUUGACAAUCCAACAAUAAUUAAAAAAUUCUCAAAAAUAUUAAGCAUUUAUAAAACCGGUUCAAAUACCAAUUUUUUG